CCUACGGGAGGCUGCAGUGGGGAAUAUUGCACAAUGGGCGCAGGCCUGAUGCAGCCAUGCCGCGUGUGUGAAGAAGGCCUUCGGGUUGUAAAGCACUUUCAGCGGGGAGGAAGGCGGUGAGGUUAAUAACCUCAUCGAUUGACGUUACCCGCAGAAGAAGCACCGGCUAACUCCGUGCCAGCAGCCGCGGUAAUACGGAGGGUGCAAGCGUUAAUCGGAAUUACUGGGCGUAAAGCGCACGCAGGCGGUCUGUCAAGUCGGAUGUGAAAUCCCCGGGCCCAACCUGGGAACUGCAUUCGAAACUGGCAGGCUAGAGUCUUGUAGAGGGGGGUAGAAUUCCAGGUGUAGCGGUGAAAUGCGUAGAGAUCUGGAGGAAUACCGGUGGCGAAGGCGGCCCCCUGGACAAAGACUGACGCUCAGGUGCGAAAGCGUGGGGAGCAAACAGGAUCAGAUACCCUAGUAGUC
RNAcentral lists this ribosomal RNA (465 nucleotides) under uncultured Klebsiella sp. Its description in RNAcentral is "bacterial SSU rRNA". It matches the Rfam family "Bacterial small subunit ribosomal RNA", at positions 338 to 795 of the family's 1533-position model. Lineage: Bacteria; Pseudomonadati; Pseudomonadota; Gammaproteobacteria; Enterobacterales; Enterobacteriaceae. The record is from RNAcentral.